GACGAACGCUGGCGGCGUGCUUAACACAUGCAAGUCGAACGGAAAGGCCCUGCUUGCAGGGUACUCGAGUGGCGAACAGGUGAGUAACACGUGGGUGAUCUGCCCUGCACUUCGGGAUAAGCCUGGGAAACUGGGUCUAAUACCGGAUAGGAGCCAUUUUUAGUGUGAUGGUUGGAAAGUUUUUUCGGUGUAGGAUGAGCUCGCGGCCUAUCAGCUUGUUGGUGGGGUAAUGGCCUACCAAGGCGGCGACGGGUAGCCGGCCUGAGAGGGUGGACGGCCACAUUGGGACUGAGAUACGGCCCAGACUCCUACGGGAGGCAGCAGUGGGGAAGAUUGCACAAUGGGCGCAAGCCUGAUGCAGCGACGCCGCGUGGGGGAUGACGGCCUUCGGGUUGUAAACUCCUUUCGCUAGGGACGAAGCUUUUUGUGACGGUACCUAGAUAAGAAGCACCGGCUAACUACGUG
Molecule: ribosomal RNA, 465 nt
Filed under: uncultured bacterium
Lineage: Bacteria
Description: partial 16S ribosomal RNA
Rfam family: Bacterial small subunit ribosomal RNA
Source: RNAcentral